CCUUAUCGAAAAAGGAGAGACGAUCUAAACGGACGCGUUUUCUGAAUUGACGUUUUCACCCUUUAUAUAAAUAUAAUCUCACGUGCGUCAAACGUGCGGACCCAAAUCUCGUCUCGGCGGUGGGCAGACAUUCAUUUUUAAUCUAUAUUUUUUUCCGGUUGGUAUUUGCAUGUUAACAUUAUUUCAUCAAAGGCAUUUUAUUUCAUACAUUUCUUACCAAUUCUUCGAUACGAGUACAAGACAAAAUAAAAAAA
RNAcentral lists this long non-coding RNA (254 nucleotides) under Hordeum vulgare. RNAcentral's name for it is "long non-coding RNA (HVUL_LNC015278)". The record is from RNAcentral. Lineage: Eukaryota; Viridiplantae; Streptophyta; Magnoliopsida; Poales; Poaceae.